GACAUACUCACUAACCCUAGAAGACUCAUUCUUCAUUUCAUUUCUUCUCUCGCCGCACACACACACUCUUUCACCUUCCUCUUCAAACCCUAGUGCCAGUGCCGCCGCCGCCGUCGCUUCUAACCACAACCACCUCACCAUCAAAUCCUCCUACCAACAUGAAUCACCACUUUCCAACUUGAUUCCCUUUGUUUUACGCCUUUCUCUGUCACUUAAAACAAAGGAUUUAAGUGACAAUCGAACUUGAAUCAUCCACGAACCCAGAUCUUGAUCUUGUUGACUCUCUGUGUUACUAUUCUCAAAUCAAAGAUUCAAAGAUUUGAAGGAAAGAUGAAUCAAGAGGUUAAUAGCAUUCAAAGCCCAGGUGCAAGGACUGUAGCAAGUGGAGGAGUUAAUGAACAAGGAGAGCAUUGCUAAAUGAUUACUAUACACAC
Medicago truncatula (barrel medic) is the source of this 434-nucleotide long non-coding RNA. RefSeq lists it as uncharacterized. The record is from RefSeq and is a predicted model, not a curated record. The transcript is spliced from 5 exons. Lineage: Eukaryota; Viridiplantae; Streptophyta; Magnoliopsida; Fabales; Fabaceae.